This 497-nucleotide ribosomal RNA is filed under the name uncultured bacterium. RNAcentral describes it as "partial 16S ribosomal RNA". It matches the Rfam family "Bacterial small subunit ribosomal RNA", at positions 28 to 507 of the family's 1533-position model. The record is from RNAcentral.
GACGAACGCUGGCGGCGUGCCUAAUACAUGCAAGUUGAGCGAUGAAGAUUGGUGCUUGCACCAAUUUGCAGAGCAGCGAACGGGUGAGUAACGCGUGGGGAAUCUGCCUUUGAGCGGGGGACAACAUUUGGAAACGAAUGCUAAUACCGCAUAAUAACUUUAAACAUAAGUUUUAAGUUUGAAAGAUGCAAUUGCAUCACUCAAAGAUGAUCCCGCGUUGUAUUAGCUAGUUGGUGAGGUAAAGGCUCACCAAGGCGAUGAUACAUAGCCGACCUGAGAGGGUGAUCGGCCACAUUGGGACUGAGACACGGCCCAAACUCCUACGGGAGGCAGCAGUAGGGAAUCUUCGGCAAUGGACGAAAGUCUGACCGAGCAACGCCGCGUGAGUGAAGAAGGGUUUCGGAUCGUAAAACUCUGUUGGUAGAGAAGAACGUUGGUGAGAGUGGAAAGCUCAUCAAGUGACGGUAACUACCCAGAAAGGGACGGCUAACUACGUG